RNAcentral lists this transfer RNA (73 nucleotides) under Marmota monax (woodchuck). RNAcentral describes it as "tRNA.Ala". The record is from RNAcentral. Lineage: Eukaryota; Metazoa; Chordata; Mammalia; Rodentia; Sciuridae.
GGGGUUGUGACUCAGUGGUACAGUGCUCACCUAGCAUGUGCGAGAGGCCCUGGGUUCGAUCCUCAGCACCACA